Chelonia mydas (Green sea turtle) is the source of this 9260-nucleotide long non-coding RNA. RefSeq lists it as uncharacterized. The transcript is spliced from 4 exons. Lineage: Eukaryota; Metazoa; Chordata; Testudines; Cheloniidae. The record is from RefSeq and is a predicted model, not a curated record.
GGUUAGUUUCCAUGCUGGGGCCCGAUCCUGUAUUCCCUGUCCGACCCAAAUACAAGCGAGCGUGGAGUUCCAUGAACUCCGGUUUAAUGAACUCCACCAGUAUCCUAGGUGCGCGAGGAAUGCGGGAUCGGGCCCCUAGCAGUCCUGUCGGUGCAGGAGGCAGCCUCGCUCCACGAUUUCCAGCUUUUUGUGGUUAGCAAUAUUAUCUUAAGUAACUUUUGGCGCCCUUCGUAAGACUUUUGGACGUGGGACGAUUGUUUGCGCCCUCUAGGCAGAGGCUGCAUCCAAGUUCAGCACCAAACCCCUUCACAUCCGCGUUCUCGACUCCAGCACGCAUUGUGCACGCUUAAACUCUAGGAUCCUGAGCCUACAGAAAAGGAACCACGGACGCACAAGGAGGAGGGUGAUGCACGCACGGGGCCCACCCUUGGCCAAUGGCAGCUCCUGGAUUUCCCAUCAACGCGAGCUCCAGGAUCCAGCUCGAGCUGCAGCCGCGCCCGGGACAGAGGGUCCGCGUACAGUAGGCCCCAGCCCAGCAGCAGCAGCGGCAGGCGGGAGGAAGAGGAGCGGGGUAUAUCCGUACGCAGUGCAAGUCCUUUCUGCAGGCGGACAUUGGGAUGGGGUCUAAGGAGAUGGUUUGCUGCGUGCUGUAGUGCGGGUGUCCGCCUCGCAGCGGAUCCUCUCCCUUUAAAAGCAAACAAACCCUACCGCUCUUUGCAAGUUACUUUAGUUCAAGGAGACUGGCCGGGAGGUCGGCAGAGCCAUUUGCACUGGGUGGGGUAAAGUUCCUCUUAAAUGCAUUAAAACUGCUGAGUUCAGAAAUCAAAUGCAACCAAACAAAAGGAUUCUAAUUCGAACUGUGCCUGUCCUCCGAACUGUUGGGAAAUCUGAAGGUGGGGGUGGGUUAUCAUUACAGUCGUGGAUAAUGGUAAUAGCAGCCAUCGAAUUCCUGGCUGUAAAGUAUUCAACUUCUGCAGCACCCCAAAAAUAGGCCUGGUGUCACCCUUGCAAGUCGUUGUGUCUGUUAACUAGCUUUGGACACGUUUGCAGGAUAACCCUGAUAUCUACAACUCCUAAAAUACAAUCUGCUAAACUUAAUUUUAAAAAAAUCUCCAAAGAGGGCAUGAGAAAUAGAAAGCUACCAGUCAGUUGUGUGUAGCUUUGAAUCGUAGAACCACAAGGUUAAAAGGGAUUGCAACGGUCAUCUAGCCUAACCCCCAACUAUCCUUGACGAUGAAGAGGCUUGUGUAAUUAACAGCAGACAGCAAAAGCAUUGCAUCAUGUAUUGGAAGCUUGAGAUCUCUUGACGUUGCAACAUCCACAAAAAAAAAAAAAAAAAACCAAACAGUUGAUAAUUUCUGGAACUUUAUAAUUAUUUUAAUAGUACAGUGUGGCCCUUUAGCUGAAUAAGGACUGCUGGGGUAUCAUGGUUACCCCAAAAUAUUUAAUACUAUUAAGUGGAUGAGAUUAGAGCUUUAAAGAUCGAUGAAGUGAGCUGUAGCUCAUGAAAGUUUAUGCUCAAAUAAAUUGGUUAGUCUCUAAGGUGCCACUAUUACUCCUUUUCUUUUUGUGAAUACAGACUAUAAUGUUAACUAAAGUUGGUGAAUAAAGAUGGUAGCUACUGGUUAGCAUAAACUUCUCUUAUUUAGUGAGGGGCUUUUUUCAGAUGGUUCCUAUUAGCAAAUCUUCAAAUGAUGAAAUAUUGUCUGCAGAUUAAAUUAAACCAUCUAUGUUUUACCCAUGGCCGCUUGAGAGCAUUGUUAAAAGAAACAUGACAAAGGAUUGUCUGCUAUGUUAUCAAGAGUUAUCAAAGAAUACUCUCAAUACAUUUCAAGUGGCUAAAGAAGGAAGCAGUGCCACUCAGGUUUGGCCUGUCUGCCCUGAAGGAGAUGAAGGGAGCAUGGGCCAAGCCCUUGCUUUGACUCCAUACACCAGGCUGACCAGGCUGCAACUUGCUUUGUGGCUCUUUGAAACUGGGGGGGGGAACUGUUCCCUCCCUGGUGGCCCUGAAUGUUCUGCUUCGACUGGGAUUGGGGCAAAGCGAGACUGUCCCUCCCAAAACCAGGAUUGUUGGAACGUCUGUAGAUGGGCAGGUGUGCGAUAAUGACGUUGGAGGUAGAACAUGUUGAGUUUUUGGAAAGGAGGUGGGUCACAUAAGGGGGAAUUUAGACAGAAAACAAUUAGGUUUUUAUACAGCAUGGCAAUAUUAACAUAAAACUAAUUAAGUAUUUAAGUAAUUUUAAAUUAGUAUUGUGAUCAUUAGAGGCCUGAUCCUCCAAUGUGCUGACUACCUUCUUCAAGGUUCUGAGCAUACUCAACUGCCCUGGACCCCCAACCUUCCUAGGUGCUGACCACCAUCUGAGAAGCCCUGGACACUACUGACUCCAACUCACACCGAAGUCAAUGGGAACUGAGGGCGCACAGCUCCUCUCAGAGUCAGGACUUUGGGGCCUAUAUGCAAGCCCACUGAAGUCAAUAGAAAGCCUCCAAUUGGGUUAAGAUCAGUUCCUUAGAGACUUACAUGUACUCUGUAGAGCUAAAUCCUCAGCACUUACUCUACAGCCCAUAAUUUGAUGUGUACCAUGAGGCAUUUCUUAUUCCAAUAAAAAUAUUGUGUGUGGUGGAGGGAAGCUGUUAGAUAUUGACUGGGUUGGCAUUACCCUUUCCCCCAGUUCUAUCAUUUGUAGCACAAAAGAUACUUCAAAAAAGGCUGACAAUACCCAUCUACUAUGAUACUUUCUUGGUGUGUUCAUUUCUGUUGUUUUAGAAGAAGCUGAAAAUAAGAUCACAGUCUGUGAGCUCAUUUGGGCAUCAUAGGCCCUGAUCCCCAAUUUGGGGAUUUUUAUAAUAUAAAUUAUAAAAAUUUCUUAUGGAAGUGGUAUAUAACCCUUAAACAGCAGGAGAAGCCUGCAGAGACAGUAAACUGACAAGCUCAACUGUUUUAGAUUAAAUGAAUGCAUACAUAGGUUUGAUGGAAAUCUGAUGCCAAAAUACUAAUUUAAAAUUACUUAAUUCCUGUGAAUAAUAAAUUUUCACAUAUGCAGCUUUCUAAUUGCCUUGGAUACAUACAUAGCGCCAUCAUCCUAGUACUGCAUAAUCUUUAAUGUAUUCAUCCUCACCACACCCCUGGAAGGUGGAGAAGUGCUAUUAUCUCCAUUUUAUAGAUGGGAAACUAAAACUAAGAUCCUCAAAGUUAUUUUAGGCUUCUGCAUCCCACUGAAGUCAAGUGACUUGUCCAAAGUCAUACAAGAAGUCUGUGGUAGAGGAGGGAAUUGAACACAGGUCUACUGAAGUCCUAGGCUAGUGUUCUAACCAUUAGUCCCUCCAGCCAUGCUAAAACUUUCCAGUUUACAUUUUCACUAAUCCAAUCUUUGUUCUCCAGCAUAUUGGUGGGGAAAGUCCAUUUUGCUCCUGGUUCUAGCUGAUCACUGAAAAAUUCUGCAGAUUUUUCCAGAUGAGUUUAUACUUUUAUGUAUUGCAAGUUAUACAGAAAUAGCAACUUACAAUUAGAUGGGUUCAAACUAAUGAAAGGAAGAAAACAGCAAUCAGAGACAGAGAUCCAGAAUAAUCAUUUUCUUUCCUUAUUUGAUUGUAGUGUUUACAAUUUAAUAAAUAGUGUUUCAGUUUAAAUAGUACUUUGAAAACAGGAUUUGUUUUGAAACCUACAACCUACAAAGUUCAUAGUGAAAAUGGUUUUGAUUUAACAAGUUAAAGAUGUAUUACUGACAGACAAUUGUUAUUAUUAUUACUAUUUUAUUUGUAUUGCAGUAGCACCUAGUCAGAGAUCAGAACCACGUCUUAGGCAUUGUUCAUAUAUGUACUAAAAAGACAGUCCCUGCCCCGGUAUGGUGCAAACCAUCAUCCUGCUUGUUAAACUACUAGGCCACAAACAUUACAUGUAAAGUAACAUACAGAAACUUUUUUUAUUCAGACACACUGUAUUAUUCCAUUUUCUCCUCUUUAUCUAAAACCGACAGACAUCUUUCUCAAGGGCAGUAAAUGACUCUGCAGUGGUACUGAGUGAUUACAGUCUCCAGUUCUGAUACAGCUUUCUUUCCAAAUCAAGUUCAGCAUAAAUAAUAGGUCUCAUAAUUUUGGACCUAAUCCUGCACUCUUCAGUAGUCAUUUUGCUCGAGUAAGGAGUGUAGGAUCAGUCAAAUUAUGAAAAUACUGUUAUGAGAUACCUACUAUAUAUUUUUAUACAUGCACAUUUUUGUGUCCAUGACAAUAUACUUCCCAAACUUAAUCAGUUUGUUUACUUUUGUUACUAUUUUGCUACCACAUGAAAACAGCCCAUUGAAUAGUAGUAUCUAUGAAUCUAUGAAUAAAGUGAUUUGUCUUGUGUUCACUUACUACAUACUGAAUCUGACAUUUAAUAGCUGAGGUGAAAAUAUGGUUUAGAAGAUGUUAAUUGAAUGUAGUGGAAUAAGAUUAACACUCAGCAACUGCAGUAUACUUUAUAGAAAAGUUAUGACUUAGAGAAAAUGGGGAGUAUAAUGAAAGACUCCUCACAACUUUUUUUGAUACCACACGUAGAAUGCUUUCCUCUAUUGUCCAAUGUUGAACUUUUUUUCUUUGUGAGCAACAAAGUUUAAAAUUAAGACGAGUCAGAUGAUAUUUCUCAAACUGCAAUAAUUAGUGAUCUGUUUAAGUACUAUGUUUGUUCCUUGUAUUUUUCUUUAUUACAAAUAAGUCUGUAAAAUACGAGCACCCUACUUUUCAGGCAAAAUCUCUCCUAACUUUGUGCAUGGGGGACAGUGAUUGGGCAUGAAGAAUCUCGGCAUGCUAACAUCUGACCUUUCAGUAUUAUUGUUUCUGGUACUGUGUAUGUUGAAUGAUGUCUGUCUGCAAAUCACUCCAAGAACUAGAGAAUGUAUGAGGCCUUUAUUUAUCAAAAUAGUGUAAUCCAUCAUAUGAGGUAAGUGUCCAAAUAAGGGGUAAGAAUGUGUGUCAGUGGAAAGCUGAUCAUUUUCCUAAGAUGUAAAGAGAACUUAAAAAUCUAAGAGCACAAAAGUUUUGUCAAUAUUAUUCUGUAUUUUUCUCUGUUAUGUACUCCUUCAAGCCCAAAUUAAAUCUCCCCUAAAUGUGAAAAUAUUAUAUGCAAGUUGUAGAAUUCACUCUAGGGAAGACAGAAACUUUUCUAUGUAUAGAGUUUCACUUUUUAUUUUAAAACAUUUUAACCAAGGAAGCGCUUGUGAUUAAAAUGUUAAUACUGAUCUUCAGCUUUGAUUAUUAAAUUGAAAUGUUUACUUGCUGCUUUUUGUGUGUAUAGGAGCUAGGGCUUCUGUCAGCAUGUGCUCCAGCUGAAGCAUUUUCCAGGUUUUCUAAACAAGUAAACUAUAUGAUCAAGUUUAACUAGCGGGUUUUUUUGUUUGUUUGUUUGUUUUGCCUCCUGCUUCGCUGUUCAGAAAGUGGAAAGGUUUUGUAUAACAGCUAAUAAAUGCAUUAGCUUCAGCAUCAGGACAUUUUUCAAGUCUUCAUUACUGUAAUUCUGAGACCUGCUGCAUUAUGAGUAUUGGCAAUCUAGAUCCCUAGUUAUGGGCAACAUGGGGUAAGGUAGGAUCUUUCUGCACAUGUUGCUUUAUUUUGCUGAAUAUAAGAUUUCUUCUGAAAAAAGUAAGUUUGUGGUUGUAGAGCUGUUGUAAUCCAUGAUGUACUUACCUUCUGGAAACAGGCUGAAAUAGCACUAGAAAAGGAGAGAAUUUCUUCUAUUCAUCAUAAAGCGGUGUUAACUUCCAUAUCAAGUUGGGACAAUUGCAGUGCUAACACUAUUAGCAAUGAGAUGCAAUACAAACACACUGAAAUGUGAUUAUAAAGUGACAAAUGAAUCCUGGUUUUGUUCAUUUGUUUUUGGUUCUGUUUGUACUCCUGUAUACAAACACACAUCACAACAGGGGAUGCAGUUAUUCUGUGUAAAUGCAGUGAACUUUUUUUUUUUAAAUGUAGCUUUUUCUAAAGCUCUGUUCACAUCUUAUGAAACAGGUGUAUUGUUAGAAUUUCAGUUUACCCAGUUUGCAUAAAUCAAAUAUAGUAUAAUUUUCCAUUUAGAACAUGGAAAAGCUCUGCCUGCAGAUUCCCCACCCCCCUUGGCAGGAAAUAAGCAUUUCCCUACAGAUGUAUUUUUUUAAUCCUCUUCAGAUUUGGAUUGUCCCUAACUGUAGAAACUCUAGUAUCGAAACAGAGCUGCUCCUUUGCAAUUUGUUCUGCACUUAAACUCUCCUAAUGCCACAAAUAAACUUUGGGAAAGUUAUAUCACAGUAAACAGUGAGGUGUGGUUUAAAAUUAUAUGUGCUACUGUAUUAUUAGGUCUCUGCCGACAUUGCAAUUAUCAUUUGAAGCUGGCAAUACCAUAUUAGCUGUUUAGUCAGAGACAGAAAUAGAGGUAUGUAUAAACACUCUGACAUUUUUAUGAAUGGAAGGUAUUUUUCGAGAUUUUUUUCCCCACUUUCUUGUUUGUCCCGUAUACACCAGGACCUAUAUCUUCCAGAAUCCUUGUAUAUGUCACUUUAAUAUUCAGACACAAUCAAUACAAAACGGAACAUGAGUCAUUGUUACCCCGUUCCACCGCCCCAGACAAAUCGUAUACUUCUUUUAUUAGCUAGUCAGUCCUCAAUCUUAAGAAAAGUAAGUACCCAGAACCGUUGGCUUUUAUUUGCACAUACGGGAGGUAAACCCUCGGACUGCAGUAGCCGCCCUAGCAUCUGCAUCGCUGGAAAUAACAACAGCAUACAACUGACAUUGACCGUGGUGCUAGACACUGUACACAUCACAAUUUUUAUUCGACAAUUGAUUUCGCGGCAGGGAUGGUUUUAACUCCUCCGAGUAAAGGCACAAAGAGCCAGAAUAAAAAUGAUCACUACGAAAAAAACAAGCGUUGUAUAUGUCUCUCUCUCUCACACACACACACACACCCCCGCCGCUUCCCCCUCUCUUGUACUCUCAUGAAUCGGUGGAGAAGGGGAGGGGGGAAUAAAUGGUGUUUAAAAAAAAUUCAUAGUCUCAUAACCUGCCAAGUCUGCCUUCCCAAUUAUUCAUGAAGUCAGUGGUAGCCAUUUUCAUUUAAGGUACAGAAAAAGGAAGGGGGGGGGCGAAUAAAAGGUCAUGAGAAACCCCCCAAAACAAACAAAACGAGCCGGAGGUAGAGCCGAAUCCACAUUCAUCCAGUGGUUGUUCUACAGUCAAUUCAUUUCGAAUUGCUGCGCCGCACUGAGCUUGCUGGGGGGGGGGGGGGGGAAUAAUCAAUCCGUGCUGUGCCCCGUCCUCCACCAGCCGCUGCUGCUGUUGAUGCAGAGGUUAGCAGCUGCAUCGUGGUGGUGUUGUGAUUUUUUUUUUUUUUUUGCCGCAGUCUACGUCCAUCGUAUAAACCAACACGCAUUGAGAUGAAUAAUGGAAGUACAGUACUGAAGACAGCCAAGCUGAUUUAUCACAGCGAAUCAUUCACUGCUCCAGCCCCAGCUCUCAAUUAUGCCACUUUACAUCACUCACUGACACACACACACACAGAGAUAAGAUAUUUGUGGCCAGAUCUGAGCCAAACACAGCGAGAGAGAGAGAAAGAAAGAAAGAAAGAAAAAUCCGGAUUGUUGAAUAGAGGGAAGUGGGAAGUAAAAGACAAAAAAAAAAAAAAAAAAAGGCUCUUUCCCCCCUAGCAUGGACAAACGCCCUGUAAUGCAGCGUGGAAGAAAAUAAAGUCUGAACAAAACUAGACGGUGAGACAAGCACGUAGGAGAGGGUGAAACUGACGUUAACGCAGACUCCAUGGGAAUCUGGUCACUGGGAAGCAAAACACGCUCUCCUUUGCUCGCUCUCACACCGUUUCCAAAAGACACGCACUAGGACUGAGUUCCGACGAAACGUGGCUUUCAAAAUAUCCACACGCCGGACACGCUGCCGUUGAGGUUUCUUUGGAGAACGCCUGGUGGGGAAGAGAGACCAGGGAGGCAUCUGCACUGCAAACUAUUACCCAGCACCACUCCUGAGGGACUGGGAAACUGCUGCAUACUGACUGCUUAUCGCAAUGCACAGGGUCUGAUCCUGAGGCCAAACUGCAGAGAAGUCAAAGGAAGUUUUACCGGAGUAGACAGCAACAUGAGACAUGGAUAUUUACACGAUUCAAAAGGAUUUGGAGAUGAGGGGGAGGGAGGGGAAAAAAGUAACAUUCUCCUGAGAAAAUGAAUGACACAUUUCUCACUACUAGCAACCCAACUUUUCCAAGGAAACCAGCAGCCCUCCUCAUUCAUCAGUGUCACUUUUCAAUGGCUGCUCUGUUCGCAAUGGAUUUGUAAUGACCAGAAAAAUUCCAGUGACCUUCAAUCAACGCUUCAGUCUUUCCCAAGACUGGUUUAUGUUUAUUUAAAGGAAGAGAUGCUUUUUCUUGCAGAAAAUAACAAUAUUUGUAAAGAAGAAAUAAAUUAUUAAUAAAAUGAAGGGUAAGUGGGUGGUUUGGAUGUUAGAGGACAUACUGAUCUAGGGAGAUAGAUCUUCAGAUGGUAUAAAUUGGUGUAGCACCAUUGACUUCACAUGUCAGUUUAAAUCCGGUGAGCAUUUAGUCCAGCAAAUCUUAACCUAUGGGUCAUAUCCUGCUACACUUGCUCACCUUAACAGUCCUUAAUUAUCUGAGUAGCUCCACGGAAGUCAAUGGGGCUACUUGUGUGAGAGUAAAAGUUGCAGGACCAAGCUCCCUGUCUGGAUUUUCAUUGUUAAUCUGUUUUGUUCUGGGGAUCAAACAUAUUGCACAUUUCUGAAUGUUAAUUUUCCAUUACUUUAUAUUUAUCACCUGUUUCGUUUCAUCAGUGGGCACUGUGGCUGAGUGAGUAUUUGGCUCCACUUGGAAAAAACAUUUCCAGUUAUUUUCCAGAUGGAUAUCAUGGCACAUGCAUGAAUGUGGGAAAUAUGCUUAUAGUUCUAUAAACAUUUUUAUAUUUCUCAUAUAACAGUAUAUACAUUGUUAUAUAUGAGAAAAGUGUUUAUAUAUUAUAUAAUAAUCUCUGACUAAUGGUAAAAUGAACCACAGAUCCGUCAACACUGAUUUUCUAGAAGAGGCAAGUUCUGCACCUUCGUGUGUGUGCACAGAUUUGUGUAAUAUUUUUGUUAGGUCUUCUGGGAUCAUUUCCCUCAGCCCCGUAGAAAAAAUCUUUUCAUGCAAAAUCUCAGACAUUCUGAUCUGAAGGAACACUUUAAAUCUAUUCCGUACAAAUAUUUCAUGUCAACUUCAUUGCGUGACUUAUCUCUUAGGAGAAAAAUUUUCCCACCCCAAACUA